RNAcentral lists this ribosomal RNA (254 nucleotides) under uncultured bacterium. RNAcentral's name for it is "partial 16S ribosomal RNA". It matches the Rfam family "Bacterial small subunit ribosomal RNA", at positions 524 to 776 of the family's 1533-position model. The record is from RNAcentral.
UACGAAGGGGGCGAGCGUUGUUCGGAAUUACUGGGCGUAAAGGGCGCGUAGGCGGCCCCUUUUGUCGCGUGUGAAAGCCCCGGGCUCAACUCGGAGACGCCACUCGAUACUGCUAUGACUUGAGUCCGGUAGGGGAGUGCGGAAUUCCUGGUGUAGCGGUGAAAUGCGCAGAUAUCAGGAGGAACACCGGUGGCGAAGGCGGGAUCCUGGGCCAGUACUGACGCUGAGGAGCGAAAGCGUGGGGAGCAAACAGG